UACAGAGGGUGCGAGCGUUGUCCGGAAUCACUGGGCGUAAAGGGCGCGUAGGUGGCCUGGUAAGUAGGGGGUGAAAUCCUGUGGCUUAACUGCAGGACGGCCUCCUAUACUGCUAGGCUUGAGCACGGUAGAGGCUGGUGGAAUUCCCGGUGUAGCGGUGGAAUGCGUAGAGAUCGGGAAGAACAUCGGUGGCGAAGGCGGCCAGCUGGGCCGUUGCUGACACUGAGGCGCGACAGCGUGGGUAGCAAACAGG
Molecule: ribosomal RNA, 253 nt
Filed under: uncultured bacterium
Lineage: Bacteria
Description: partial 16S ribosomal RNA
Rfam family: Bacterial small subunit ribosomal RNA
Source: RNAcentral